UGGGAGAGACUGGGAUGGACUGGGAUGGACUGGGAUAAACUGGGAUUGGAUUGGGAUUGAACUGGGAUAGACUGGGAAGGGAACUGGGAUUGAACUGGGAGCCAAGAGCGGGGCCCGGUUCCAGUUCCGGGAGAGCUGCGAGAAGGAGACAAAGGUGUUCACCUUCGAGCUCUCCAUCUCCAAGGUGGUCCCCGGUGACCGGGGCGAUUAUCGCUGUGAGGUCACGGCCAAGGACAAGAAGGACAGCUGCUCCUUCAACAUUGAUGUCGAGGGUACGCCCCAAAAACCCCCAAAUCACCCCAAAAUCCACCUGGGGACCCCAAAAUCCACCUGGGAACCCCAAAAUCCACCUGGGGACCCCAAAAUCCACCCCAAAACUCAGCUGGGAACCCCAAAACUCACCUGGGGACAGGGGUGAGGUCACGGCCAAGGACAAGAAGGACAGCUGCUCCUUCAAUUUCCAUGUCGAGGGUGCACCCCAAAAACCUCCAAAAUCACCCCAAAAUACACCUGGAAACCCCAAAACUCACCUGGGAACCCCAAAAUCCACCUGGGAACGCCAAAAUCCACCCCAAAACUCAGCUGGGGACCCCAAAACUCACCUGGGGACAGGGGUGAGGUCACGGCCAAGGACAGCUGCUCCUUCAACAUCGACGUCGAGGCCGGACGCCCCUCGGGCUCGGACAACGUCCUGCAGGCCUUCAAGAGAUCGUGAGUGUGGAGACCCCUCCCCAAAAUCCCACCAGGGACCCCCAAAAUCCCACCUGGGACCCCCAAAAUCCUGCCUGGGACCCCAAAAACCUCCUCAAAAUCCCACUGGGGACCCCAAAAUCCCACCUGGGACCCCCAAAAUCCUGCCUGGGACCCCAAAAACCUCCUCAAAAUCCCACCUGGGACCCCAAAA
Molecule: long non-coding RNA, 904 nt
Filed under: Cyanistes caeruleus (blue tit)
Lineage: Eukaryota; Metazoa; Chordata; Aves; Passeriformes; Paridae
Description: lncRNA (ENSCCEG00000000237.1)
Source: RNAcentral